Molecule: small RNA, 28 nt
Filed under: Bombyx mori (domestic silkworm)
Lineage: Eukaryota; Metazoa; Arthropoda; Insecta; Lepidoptera; Bombycidae
Description: ovarian small RNA-1184
Source: RNAcentral
UGCAUUUCAGUAGCUAUGCUGGUGGCCG